RNAcentral lists this ribosomal RNA (485 nucleotides) under uncultured bacterium. Its description in RNAcentral is "bacterial SSU rRNA". It matches the Rfam family "Bacterial small subunit ribosomal RNA", at positions 29 to 487 of the family's 1533-position model. The record is from RNAcentral.
AACUAACGCUGGCGGCGUGCCUAACACAUGCAAGUCGUACGAGAAAGCCGGCUUCGGCUGGUGAGUAAAGUGGCGCACGGGUGAGUAACGCGUGGAUAAUCUGCCCUUAAGUGUGGAAUAACGUACCGAAAGGUGCGCUAAUACCGCAUAAUGCCUGGCAACACAAGUUGUCCGGCCAAAGAAGGCCUCUGUUUACAAGCUUUCGCUUCAGGAUGAGUCCGCGUACCAUUAGCUUGUUGGUGGGGUAAUGGCCUACCAAGGCUGCGAUGGUUAAGCUGGUCUGAGAGGAUGAUCAGCCACACUGGAACUGAGACACGGUCCAGACUCCUACGGGAGGCAGCAGUGAGGAAUAUUGCGCAAUGGGGGCAACCCUGACGCAGCAAACGCCGCGUGAGUGAGGAAGGUUUUCGGACUGUAAAGCUCUGUCGAGCGGGAAGAAGUGUACCAUGGCUAAUAUCCAUGAUAUUUGACGGUACCGCUAGAGG